GGACAACUCUAGGGGUGGACAGCCAGGUUCCAGUGUGCUUCUGCCCAGCCUAGAAAAGCUCCCUCAGCAACACCACGGCUUCUCUCCCUACGGAUGGAGGGAAGUUCCCAACAUAUUCUCACAUUCCUCCAGUUAAAAACUUCCCACCCACAGACAUCCCAGAGCAUCCCUUUGGAGAACGAAACACAAAGGGAAUCCAAGAUGAUGCUUGGCUUCCUGCUGCUGAGACAAAUAGUGAGGCUGUUAAACUCUACCAUUGUCCCACGUCCUUUAGAGUGGAAAGAGUUUGUACUCCUUGCUCUAAGAUUUACGCAGCAGUGCUCUCCAACGCC
This 332-nucleotide long non-coding RNA is filed under the name Gallus gallus (chicken). RNAcentral describes it as "long non-coding RNA NONGGAT009165". The record is from RNAcentral. Lineage: Eukaryota; Metazoa; Chordata; Aves; Galliformes; Phasianidae.